AUACGGAGGGUCCAAGCGUUAUCCGGAAUCAUUGGGUUUAAAGGGUCCGCAGGCGGUCAAUUAAGUCAGAGGUGAAAGCCCAUCGCUCAACGAUGGAACUGCCUUUGAUACUGGUUGACUUGAGUUAUACGGAAGUAGAUAGAAUAAGUAGUGUAGCGGUGAAAUGCAUAGAUAUUACUUAGAAUACCGAUUGCGAAGGCAGUCUACUACGUAUAUACUGACGCUGAGGGACGAAAGCGUGGGGAGCAAACAGGAUUAGAAACCCUAGUAGUCC
Molecule: ribosomal RNA, 274 nt
Filed under: uncultured bacterium
Lineage: Bacteria
Description: partial 16S ribosomal RNA
Rfam family: Bacterial small subunit ribosomal RNA
Source: RNAcentral